Long non-coding RNA from Eriocheir sinensis (Chinese mitten crab), 2206 nucleotides. RefSeq lists it as uncharacterized. The record is from RefSeq and is a predicted model, not a curated record. The transcript has 3 exons. Lineage: Eukaryota; Metazoa; Arthropoda; Malacostraca; Decapoda; Varunidae.
CCCGGUGUUACACGCCAUAGUGUCCUCCCCCGCCUAAAUGUCCUCCCCCCCGUCGGGUCCCCGGUGUCGGAGCGAACAUAAACAAACAAAGGCCAGCUGAUAGCAGUCUCACGCCAGAGUGUCCACCACAACAAUGGCUUCGGAUCUCCGCGACAGGAUUUUCCAUUUUAAUGAGAAUUUAGUCCCGCUUAAGCAACUAAUUCUUAACAACCAGUAUCCACCAGGCUUGACUGGAAAUCAAAGGAGAAUUUUGAGAAGACAGAGGGAACAUCACAUGAUAAAAGAUAUCAACUUGUACAACUUGCCAGACUUUUGAGGUUGUAAAGACACAAGCUCCCACACUUAAACAAAUUAAGGUGUCUCAACCCAUGGAAGUCGUAGGCAUGGAUCUUAUUGGAAAAGCUAAGGUAGUGUUGCAAGCAGGCAGUGACAAAUACAGUUCGGCGACAUGACAUGCUCAUCUUGUCCAGGACCUCAUCCAGUAUAAUGAAGGGCAAUCAGUUUCUAGUUUAUUAGAAUGCAUAUGAGAUUUUAAGAUGCAUGAUGAACCCUUGCAUGUUUUAUGGCAGUGUUGUCCAAACUGGGGUCCGCGUACCCCUCGGGGUACGCAGCAUAGAUCAAAGGGGUACGUGAAAAGACGAUGAACACACACACACACACACACACAGCAGAAACUUCCCAUGUUCUAUGAAGGAAAAGAGAGAGGGAGGGACGGUUGGUUACCUAGGAAGGACGCGUUUUAUGCGUAAUGUAAAUAUAAUGUAAUGUAAUGCAAAUAUGAUAUAUAUAAUUGACUUUAGUCAGCCAUAGGGGGUUCGUAACAGUGGGAGAAUGUAAUAAAGGGUACAAUAGGCGAAAAAGUUUGGACAGCACUGUUUUAUGGUGUCUUAAAAGUUUUAGGUGAACAUCGUGAAAUAUAUUAUAUUUUACCUGUAAAAAUGUAACUCAUUUAUUUACUUUUGCUAAGGUUUCACAUCAGGAAGUAUGGUCCCUCUUCUUACUGUUUCUUAUUAUUGUGUGUACAUAAACACAUUACUUUCUCACACUUAUGUUGGCUAAUAGUUCACUCUAUGAUGGCAUGUUCCCCUGCAAUGACCUCUGUAUCACAUUUACUGCUUUCUCUUACUUAUUUUUGUUAUGUGGUUGCCACUAGCAUUAGGGCCCCCAGUUACUGUUAUUAGGUUAUAAGAAAUAGCAGCUGCACUUAAUUAGCCUAACUGUUACCUUCUUCUGACAAAUUAAAACCUAAAGGGUGGGAAUGUACAGUGAAAGCCAUAAAUCCUCGCACAAACUUCAAAAUUAUGGCGGAAAAAGUCGGACCAGAAAACCCUGUCACCCGCCCUUUAGGGUUUAACCUCCCCUGCUUCAUGCCCUGGCCAGUAAUCCUCACAUCCCCUGCACUUAGGAGUUUGGUUCAGUAGGUUUUGUAUGCCUUAUUUAUAUUACUAUAAAAUCUUACCAUCCUCACACCAGAUAAGAUAAUGGUUUUUUGCAUGUGGAAUUUUGUAUCUUUAGAGAUCUUACAAAUGACAGAGUGUUGCUCUGCGAUGGAUUUCUCAAUUGACUUCAUUGAUUUAGAAAUGAUGAGUUAAGGGAUGAUGAUAGAAGAUACUUUGAUGCAGUAAAUACUGUUACAUUUACAAUUGCCACAAUUUAAUUUUCCACAAUAUUUUGAAACAAAACAACUUAGCAUUCAGUGUUCCAUUGUAAUGACACCUUUAUUAUCUGUUUUCUGCCACCACAUAGUAAGUCAUUACAGUGCUGCUCCUCAUGUUUUUCAGCUAAAUGAUAUCCAUCGUGGGGAGGAAAUAUGCCACUACAUGUAUACUGAUAUAUUUUCACUGUAUUACAGGACCACUGGCGAUGACCAAGAGUGGGAGUCAGUACGUAUUGACAAUUGUGGAUUACUUCACCAAAUAUGUACUGUUGUUCCCUCUUCCAAGAAAGGAUGGGACAGGUGUCAACAAUUGCAUCAAGCAGUACAUAAGCAUGUAAGAUGAAUUUCAUUGAUACGUACUGGUUUUGUAGGUCUUUGUAUUCCAAUGGGACAAUCCUUAGUGUAAUAAGAUAUCAAUAGUAUUUCCUUUACAGUAUUCUUAGGUAGAAUAAGCAUAAACAUACACAAAAUAUAUUUUAUGUAAAAUAUUUAUGGCACUGUAAGGUCCAUGAGGGAGAAUGUGUAAGCUCGCUGUACCAUAUGGUGUGU